UUAAAGACAUUGGCAGACAGCAAAAUGUUCACUGGUCAAAGGGCGGGACUGGGAUCAAGGAAAAGUGACUGCAGUUGCCGUCUAACCACUGUUCACUCGUCUCCUUUCUCUUCAUCGCUGACAACUGACUAGUCGGUGAUUGACUGCUGCAGGUGCACGUCACACCUGCUGUUGCCCACUGUCUACCUGGAUCGCACUUCUUGUACCUCAAAACAUUCAGUUCUAUCCAUUCAUCUUCUUGCCCCGUGAUGGCCCUCCAUACAAGCCUACUGGAUCGGUGGCCGAAGUGGUGGAAAUCAUCAUAAAAAAUAUGAAUUUCUGAUAUGACUACACUGUACCGCAGGAUGCGAAUUUCGGGUACAAGAUGGCGAACGGUUCUUGGACGGGGAUAAUCGGCACUCUUGAGCGGAAUUAUAAAAAAGCUGCGAGAGUCUGGCAUUCUGGAGCACCUUUUCAUGAAGUAUGUGGUGCACGCAAGUACCUGCCUUCGCUCACCCCCCACCAACGUAGACAACACACUCAGGCCGCUGGGGAUUUGAGACAUGUACGGCGUUUGUUUAGUCUACGUUGUAGGUGAGUGAAUAUUAUCAAGGUAAGGAAAGCUGAAUGACAUUUCACGAAGCAGUAGCAAUAGUGUGUGUGUGUGUGUGUGUGUGUGUGUGUGUGUGUGUGUGUGUGUGUGUGUGUGUGUGUGUGUGUGUGUGUGUGUGUGUGUGAUAAAAUGAAGUCAUGAUAUUUCCAUUUUUUUCCAGGAAUGACAAUUGCUGCUUUGAUUCUCUUGACGGAGAUGGCGGUGGCCUGGAUUGGAAAAUGAACGAUGUAACAAAACUCUGCCAUUGAGUAUCCCUGUCUAGAAAACACUACACUUGUCCUACGUUUAACCCCUUCAAUAUUGGGGCACAUUCUUACCUUGAGACUUAUGUACGACUAGAACAUUUUAUUGACAUUAGGAAGGGUCUAUGGUCAGAAGAUUAAUGGCCACAGUUUUCCCUAUUUCAAUCCCCCAAGUGAGUUUCUGAAGCUGUAUAAAUUCACUAAAUAGUAAGCAGAAUGGAUAUGGAAAUACGUCAUGGUACUCAAGGAGUUAAUUAUCAUUGUCAACGGAACUACCAAUGACCUGAAGACUGUAUGAACGUAUGUCGAUAUCACUCCCAUCAUUCUCUCUCUCUCUCUCUCUCUCUCUCUCUCUCUCUCUUGGUAAAAACAACUCUUGAUAAUGUAAAUAUAUUUUUCAUACAACUGGUAUUGACGAAAAGAAAAUGGAAAAAAUUCAAUCCCUCUUUAAGUCAAGGGAUGCAAGAAAAGGCAGUAAGUGAAAGAGGAGACGAGGAGGAACUAAAAUCAGAACUUAUGGAAUGCAAGAGAAAAUAAUAAGCAGAAGAGGCGAUGAUUAGAAAGCAGAGUAAAAAAAUCUGCAGAGAGAGAGAGAGAGAGAGAGAGAGAGAGAGAGAGAGAGAGAGAGAGAGAGAGAGAGAGAGAGAGAGAGAGAGAGAUUUUUCGUUUUAAUAGUAAUGCUUAUCAGUGUAGCACACCACGUGUUUCGUUUCAUCUUUUUUUCUAGCUAGAUAACUCAGCGACAUUUCUUAGAAGUGUUUUUUUUUUUUUCAUUUUAUUCCGAUAAUCACCACCAUCACUAUCCAAUCCUUUGAUACAAUCAGGGUCAAUGGCCGCCUCCUAACUUUCUCCAUUGAUCUCUAUCGAUUGCCCGUCCACCUCAGCUCCCUCUCGAAUGGAACACUGCCCUGAAACCAACAUCGUAGCACUAAACACACGUAUUGCUCGACAAAAAUACUUUCAGUUCACUCAGAUACAAUAUUAAAGGCUUUCCUUACUAUCCUUUUUUUUUUUAAUAUCAAGAAAUGGAACUUUAAAGAAAACUAAUAUUAAUAUCGUUAUUAUAGGACGCACAAUUCGCAAUCCAGUAGUACACUGAUGCUAUGUUGCUUGAUACUGCUGGUGUACAUCAUUAAAUGCUACAGCCUAUACGCCCAGUGACUGAUAUGCUAAUGCUACAGGAGAAGCUUUUGGCAUUACAGGCAGCCUACAUUAAACUACAAACGCAAAAUUUUCAAAUAAAAAAAAAAAUAAAUAAAUAAAUAAAUAAAAAAUAAAUAAAUAAAAUAAAAUGAGAAGAUAAUUUUCAAAGGAAGAUAUUGAUAUCAUUCAAUCUUAUUUUAAUCACCCGAAUGAAUGCUUGUUUCCAUCAAGCCUCUUCCGUCCCGCCAGUCAUCACUUUCAAGAAGUCGUGUAACUCUGCCUUUGUUUUCACCACUUCAGUUACAUUUAAUCUGAAAUCACACAGUCAAGUUAUUGGCGCAAUCAUAUCAAGUUAAUUAAUGCUUUUAUUUUCUCAUCAUACAACCUAUCGUAAUGAUUAGUUUGUAAUAAAUGGAGCAAACAUGUCAUCUGUAUCAGUUACCUUUGUCUUAGUCAAUGCAGUUAUUUCUUCUGACGUAUGUUUCCUUCCUGGAAGAUGCCCUUCUUAUUUCUUUGACGGGCCGGAGCAAGACUUGUGACGAGCUCGCGACAAGCAUCAACAUUGGGCCAUUGCUAGCGGACAGUGGCUCGGUGCCCACUGGUGCUUGCAAGGAUCACUGCUCGCACUUGCUCAUUCCGCUGACGCACAAUGAAAAAAGUUAUGAAUCUUCUGCAUAAUAUUAUUCUUUAUUCCAUCGAUGAGUCGCACUAGAUUUGCUGCGCGUUUUCCAUGAUCGUAGACGAUUCGUGCUAGUAUCGCACAGCAAUCACACAUUCAUGGCGCGUUUACAGGGCAUUCACUAACACCACGUUAGCAAAGCAUAAGUCAUAACCUAGCCACAGCUGAAUCGUCAUCAAAAUUUACCAAUUCAUAGUUCCUGCCAAUGUGAAUGUUUCUGUUGAGAUGUAAUAUAUGACUAAAUCACGAGUGGAACGCUAUUGUAAGUGAUGAUAAAACCUGAAGCACUCGAAAUUCAGACUAGAUGUAUGGAAACUUCGUUUCCAGUCUGCUCACACUAUAGCAAUAGCCUUUGCAAAAUUCUGCCUCCUUGAAAUUUUCUCGAUACUUCCUAAUCUUCUUAACCUGCGUGAGUUUGCUAACAAUACAAAAUGUCCAAAUGAUAGG
This is a long non-coding RNA of Portunus trituberculatus (swimming crab), 3103 nucleotides long. RefSeq lists it as uncharacterized. NCBI's taxonomy places the organism in Eukaryota, Metazoa, Arthropoda, Malacostraca, Decapoda, Portunidae. The record is from RefSeq and is a predicted model, not a curated record. The transcript has 4 exons.